Molecule: ribosomal RNA, 457 nt
Filed under: uncultured bacterium
Lineage: Bacteria
Description: bacterial SSU rRNA
Rfam family: Bacterial small subunit ribosomal RNA
Source: RNAcentral
GAUAAACGCUGGCGGCAUGCCUAAUACAUGCAAGUGGAACGAGUCAUUUCGGUGAUUCGUCGCGAACGGGUGAGUAACACGUAGAUAACCUACCUAGUAGAGGGGGGAUAACCAUUGGAAACGAUGGAUAAUACCGCAUAGAUACUCCAUAGGCAUCUAAGGAAGUAGAAAGGAGCAAUUGCUCCGCUAGUAGAUGGAUCUGCGGCGCAUUAGCUAGUUGGUGAGGUAACGGCCACCAAGGCGAUGAUGCGUAGCCGGCCUGAGAGGGUGAACGGCCACAUUGGGACUGAGACACGGCCCAGACUCCUACGGGAGGCAGCAGUAGGGAAUUUUCGGCAAUGGGGGGAACCCUGACCGAGCAAUGCCGCGUGAAGGAGAAGGUUUUCGGAUUGUAAACUUCUGUCAUCGGGGACGAUAAUGACGGUACCCGAGAAGGAAGCUACCGGCUAACUACGUG